Molecule: unclassified non-coding RNA, 252 nt
Filed under: Hevea brasiliensis (rubber tree)
Lineage: Eukaryota; Viridiplantae; Streptophyta; Magnoliopsida; Malpighiales; Euphorbiaceae
Source: RNAcentral
GUUCAAUCGGAGUAUCUCCGCCGUACCAACUCUUUCUUCCCGCCUAUGAGUUCCGCGGAUUCUUGCUGGAACUCUUAUCAGUCUCUGGUCAACGAUUAUGUCCAAAACUUUGAUAUUCGGAGUUCAUGUGGGUUUCAAACAGCUUGGAUCUCUCAGGGUUGUAUGAAUAUCACAACCCGUUUCGAGUUCGAGUCUAAGGUAUCCCCUGCUGCGAUUACUAAUAUUGUUUCUUCCUGUAAUCAGUCUUUAGAG